This 359-nucleotide long non-coding RNA is filed under the name Marmota monax (woodchuck). Lineage: Eukaryota; Metazoa; Chordata; Mammalia; Rodentia; Sciuridae. The record is from RNAcentral.
GUCCAGUUUUGUUCAGGAAGCUGGGGUCCUUCCUGUGCCUCCAAGGAGUGGGGAUGACCAAGUGGCAGGUCUGGUUGAUAGAACCUGAGUAAAGGCAGCUGUGGGGAGUUUGGGGGGUGUUCUCCUCACCCUUGCUGUGUGUCAAAGAGUGGAACACACCUUCUGUGACUCAUGGCCACUGUUGAAGGUGUGAAGACCAGAGCUACUACUACACCACCCUGAGAAGCAAGCCCGGAUGUUCCAGUGGAACUAGGUAGAGGCCAGGUCCUGCAGCAGCUGCGCUCCAGAGCUCCUGGUAGGAUUCUCACUCCUUAGGAAACUCCAGUCAUUGCAACCUUCAAAGGAGAAAAAAGGACUCC